This is a long non-coding RNA of Lagopus muta (rock ptarmigan), 1430 nucleotides long. RefSeq lists it as uncharacterized. The transcript is spliced from 7 exons. The record is from RefSeq and is a predicted model, not a curated record. NCBI's taxonomy places the organism in Eukaryota, Metazoa, Chordata, Aves, Galliformes, Phasianidae.
AGUUCAGUGAUUUCAACAUCUAUGCACAGCAAGCUGGAACAAGGAAAACAGCCACAGCCUUCCAAAUAUAAGGUCUAACACCGGGGAGCACAGGCACACGGAGUCACACACGGGGAAAACUGCACAUGUAACACCAGAGUGCUUCAACACCACACUUCCUAGGGCUAUGUUCUUUAUAAUAUAGGUAUGAAUCACUCCCCGCCAUGGCAACUGCGCAAUCGAGCUGAGAAGAAACGCUUCGGCCCUCGGGGUACGCGCGGCCCCCACAAGAGCCGGCCAUCAGCGGGCUGCCGCCCCGCCCCAGCCCUAGCCCCCUCAGGUGCACCACCCGCCGCCUGGGGGCACCAACAGCGCGGGAAGCCGCGGCCCCGUCGACCACCGCUGCCCCUCACGAGGGAGCGACGAGGCCCAGCGCCCGCCGACUGACCGCCCCCCGGGGGGUGGUCCGCUGUCCCUAGCCGACCGACCGCCCCUCCGGGAGCGCCGCAGCCCUCGUAGCGACCGCCCUCCGCGGGGGAGCGAGAAGGAGUGCUGUCUGUGCAGAGCCAUUUGUGCCCUUGGGAAGCAUCAGUGCAAGAAAACAAGCUGGAGUCUCACAGUUCUCAAUGGAGAGCCUUGGAGAACUCAUAUUGAUACUGUUUCACUGUGUCUUUUUCCCUCUCUGUGACAGAAUAAUAAAGUAUAAAAGAUUUCAAGGCACAGAAAAUAUAAGAACUAAUUGGACAAGCUUCACUUCGACUGUGAAUAAGUUUUCAGAUAAAUCUGGAUUAAGAAAUGGCAUUCCUGCAGACUGUACUUCAUUCAAAGCCAGGACUCAAAAAUCUUCAUAGCUUUCAUGUGUUUACAAAAGAACAAAUACUGCAUAAAUACCACAUGGGCUCAUCUUGCACACAGUGUGUGUGCACAGUCAGGGUGCUCCGUGGGCUGCAAAAACCUUUAUUCAAAGGUGAACUUUGCCAAACUUCUCCCCAGUGGGUCAGAAGACACUGCAAGGGCAUACUCUAGACCAGUGUUGAGACCAAAUAGUCAUAUGAGAAGAAGCCUUUGAGAAGUAUUUUGAAAGCCUAUCUGAUUUCAGGAUUUAUAAUAUUUAAAUUUCCAUGAUGUUCUACUCAACUGAGAAGGAGAACUGAGCAGCCCAGGCCCGAUUUUGAAAGCAGAGUCUGCCUUUUAACUUUCACUCUUCUAUUCAUACUUCCCUAUCCUACACUACUCACCAAGAAUGACGGCUAUUUUCCAAAGUCCUGCACAGCCAACAUCCCACUGCCAGAUUCAUAUAAGUAAUGAUAAUGAGGUAGUGAAAUCUAAACUUCAUUUAUUUUGGUAAUUUUAAUAAUGAUAGUUCAUAAUGUUGUAGAUGUCAAGUUUGGCACUUAGAUUGUGCUAAAUCCAAAGCUUUAAAUUCAGUGCUGUAAUUUAACUCUGCCAAA